Molecule: ribosomal RNA, 253 nt
Filed under: uncultured bacterium
Lineage: Bacteria
Description: partial 16S ribosomal RNA
Rfam family: Bacterial small subunit ribosomal RNA
Source: RNAcentral
UACGGGGGGGGCAAGCGUUGUUCGGAAUUACUGGGCGUAAAGCGUGCGCAGGCGGUUCGCUAAGACCGAUGUGAAAUCCCCGGGCUUAACCUGGGAACUGCAUUGGUGACUGGCGGGCUAGAGUAUGGCAGAGGGGGGUAGAACUCCACGUGUAGCAGUGAAAUGCGUAGAGAUGUGGAGGAAUACCGAUGGCGAAGGCAGCCCCCUGGGCCAAUACUGACGCUCAUGCACGAAAGCGUGGGGAGCAAACAGG